Molecule: ribosomal RNA, 443 nt
Filed under: uncultured bacterium
Lineage: Bacteria
Description: partial 16S ribosomal RNA
Rfam family: Bacterial small subunit ribosomal RNA
Source: RNAcentral
CCUACGGGCGGCAGCAGUGGGGAAUAUUGGGCAAUGGGCGCAAGCCUGAUCCAGCAACGCCGCGUGAAGGAAGAAGGCUUUCGGGUUGUAAACUUCUUUUCUCAGGGACGAAGCAAGUGUAGGUAACCGAGGAAUACGCCACGGCUAACUACGUGCCAGCCGCCGCGGUAAUACGUGGGUGGCAAGCGUUAUCCGGAUUUGGUGGGUGGAAAGGGCGUGUAGGCGGGGAGGCAAGUAAGAUGUGAAAACCACGGGCUCAACCUGUGGCCUGCUUUUGAAUCUGUGUGACGUGAGUACUGGAGGGGCAGACGGAAUUCCUGGUGUAGCGGUGAAAUGCGUAGAUAUUAGGAGGAACACCAGUGGCGAAGGCGGUCUGCUGGACAGCAACUGACGCUGAGGCGCGAAAGCGUGGGGAGCAAACAGGAUUAGAUACCCCUGUAGUC